GGAAAGUCUCUGGUGAAAUCCUGCGGCUUAACUGUAGGGCUUGCCGAAGAAACUCUCGACUAGAGGAUGGGAGAGGUCGGAGGUACUUCUGGGGUAGGGGUGAAAUCCUAUAAUCCUAGAAGGACCAACAGUGGCGAAGGCGUCCGACAUGAACAUGCCUGACAGUGAGGGACGAGAGCCAGGGUCGCGAAACGGAUUAGAUACCCGUGUAGUCCUGGCCGUAAACGAUGUUGACUAGGUGGGGCGAGUCCUUUCAGGUCGUGCUAUGCCGAAGGGAAACCGUUAAGUCAACCGCCUGGGGAGUACGUCCGCAAGGAUGAAACUUAAAGGAAUUGGCGGGGGA
RNAcentral lists this ribosomal RNA (343 nucleotides) under uncultured euryarchaeote. Its description in RNAcentral is "bacterial SSU rRNA". It matches the Rfam family "Archaeal small subunit ribosomal RNA", at positions 532 to 875 of the family's 1478-position model. The record is from RNAcentral. Lineage: Archaea; Methanobacteriati; Methanobacteriota.